CGUCAAUAUGGCGCUUGCAAGUUGUGCGAUGGGGUUUGUUGCUUGUCUUGUGCUACCGGGUUUAAACGUUUCCUGUGUGCAGCCUCUAUGCCUCAUUGAACUGUGCGGCAGGUGUGAAACAGAUGUGGUUCAGUAAAACCGUGAAGAGUCAUUUGAAAUGCGGGGUGCACCAAAAGUCACGUUCGUCGUUUGCGAAGACGGUUACCGCGCCGUUGUGGACAACCUCGAGAAAUGCUUCAUUCCGCUGAGCGUUGCCGAUAUGGCAAAAAAGGCCUUUAUCGACAAAGUGAGCCGGGUAAGGACAUCAAGAAGAGCUGCUAUUACAGGGAUGUCCACCUUCUUUGAGAUGGAGAAAAAAACGACUCGCCGUGCAACACAAUCGUUUCUACCAGAGUGACUGUGAAAAGAACGUCAGAACUUGGAAGGUUUCAGUCAUAUCCUCCAGGUCAGGCUCCUUCGGCACAAACACUGCAGCUGCUGUUACCACCACCACGGCCUAUAUUUCACUUCAGCCAUUGCUGCAUCACAACCAGUAUUACACUUUCUGAGCCGCUACCACAGUCCUUCCCAAUGAUGCCUCACCUUGACAGGGCUUCAUAUGCUUCCAAAGGAAGCUAUCAGGCAAGUGUGUACUGUUAAGAAAUUUAGCUUUCAGUAGCAUUGAUGUUUUCAAUGGGCAGAUUAAUUGACAAGUCUGCCAACUUCAUGCUUCUUGAACAGGGUUGAACCUACGUG
Molecule: long non-coding RNA, 735 nt
Organism: Rhipicephalus microplus (southern cattle tick)
Lineage: Eukaryota; Metazoa; Arthropoda; Arachnida; Ixodida; Ixodidae
Source: RefSeq, a predicted model, not a curated record